GAUGAACGCUGGCGGCGUGCCUAAUACAUGCAAGUCGAGCGAACGGACGAGAAGCUUGCUUCUCUGAUGUUAGCGGCGGACGGGUGAGUAACACGUGGAUAACCUACCUAUAAGACUGGGAUAACUUCGGGAAACCGGAGCUAAUACCGGAUGAUAUUUUGAACCGCAUGGUUCAAAAGUGAAAGACGGUCUUGCUGUCACUUAUAGAUGGAUCCGCGCUGCAUUGGCUAGUUGGUAAGGUAACGGCUUACCAAGGCAACGAUGCAUAGCCGACCUGAGAGGGUGAUCGGCCACACUGGAACUGAGACACGGUCCAGACUCCCACGGGAGGCAGCAGUAGGGAAUCUUCCGCAAUGGGCGAAAGCCUGACGGAGCAACGCCGCGUGAGUGAUGAAGGUCUUCGGAUCGUAAAACUCUGUUAUUAGGGAAGAACAUAUGUGUAAGUAACUGUGCACAUCUUGACGGUACCUAAUCAGAAAGCCACGGCUAACUACGUG
This 497-nucleotide ribosomal RNA is filed under the name uncultured bacterium. RNAcentral's name for it is "partial 16S ribosomal RNA". It matches the Rfam family "Bacterial small subunit ribosomal RNA", at positions 28 to 507 of the family's 1533-position model. The record is from RNAcentral.